RNAcentral lists this ribosomal RNA (443 nucleotides) under uncultured bacterium. RNAcentral describes it as "partial 16S ribosomal RNA". It matches the Rfam family "Bacterial small subunit ribosomal RNA", at positions 338 to 795 of the family's 1533-position model. The record is from RNAcentral.
CCUACGGGAGGCAGCAGUGGGGAAUAUUGGACAAUGGGGGGAACCCUGAUCCAGCGACGCCGCGUGAGUGAAGAAGUAUUUCGGUAUGUAAAGCUCUAUCAGCAGGGAAGAAAGAAAUGACGGUACCUGAAUAAGAAGCCCCGGCUAACUACGUGCCAGCAGCCGCGGUAAUACGUAGGGGGCAAGCGUUAUCCGGAUUUACUGGGGGUAAAGGGAGCGUAGACGGGGAUGCAAGUCUGAAGUGAAAGGCGGGGGCCCAACCCCCGGACUGCUUUGGAAACUGUAUGGCUGGAGUGCAGGAGAGGUGAGUGGAAUUCCUAGUGUAGCGGUGAAAUGCGUAGAUAUUAGGAGGAACACCAGUGGCGAAGGCGGCUUACUGGCCUGUAACUGACGUUGAGGCUCGAAAGCGUGGGGAGCAAACAGGAUUAGAUACCCGAGUAGUC